RNA transcript from Cotesia glomerata, 6250 nucleotides. It is a transcript of the gene named AT-rich interactive domain-containing protein 2, with no coding region annotated. The transcript has 17 exons. The record is from RefSeq and is a predicted model, not a curated record. NCBI's taxonomy places the organism in Eukaryota, Metazoa, Arthropoda, Insecta, Hymenoptera, Braconidae.
UCAGCAGCUAACAGAAACAGACGGAAAUGGGGGUAACACUGUACACUAGUGUCUACAAUAGUCGUCGAGUGCAUCAAUAAUUACCCUUCAAAGAUUACUAUUACCGAAUAAACUAACCGGAGUGCGCGGGAGUUAAAUUAAGUGUUAUUCCUCUGACCGUUGAAAUAAAAACUGAACUAAAAAAAUAUUCACUCGUGAGUAAAAGGUGUAUCUGCCGUCCGAGGUGUCUGGCGUAGCUGUAGUGGUGCAUUACGACGGCCGUGACAGCCAAAGACUGAGUGCUCGGUGAGCUCCAGCCUUGAGGUGAGACUAAUAAUCCGGGCCGAGGCUCGGAGUGCUCCUGGACCCGGACCGGGAAAUAAAAAGCUUCCCUUAAGAAUAUCCUCGGGAGUUACCUCUUAAAACUUGCCACUGAAGGCGGCAGGGACGCCAUUUUGAUAUCCACGGUUUAGCUUCGUCGUCUAACUAGAGGCACUGGUGGCUCCUGAGCUGCUGAUCCCUCGAGGGGGGGAUUCACUGGCCACUCUCCACAUGGUCUUGGUUUGCUGGGCUGAUAACUCGAGCGAGGAGCUAAUGACUAAAUUCAAGUACAAACUUUGGAUAAAUAAAGCCAGUUUUUAAAUAUUAACAUGGCUAAGAUCCUUAAUAAGGACCCGGUCACCUACGAGAGGGAAAGACUCACUUUUUUGAAGGAGCUUCAUCAUUUUCAUGAGACUAGAGGGACCGGAUUUAAAAAAUAUCCAAAAAUUAGCGGAAAUGAAAUAGAUCUAUAUUUACUUUAUCUACUUGUUACUGCACAUGGUGGAUGGAUCAAGGUAAAUACCAGAAACGAGUGGUCAUCAUUAUGCGAACAAUUUCACUUACCAUCAGGCUGCGUAAACAGCGGCGUGGGCUUGAAGCAAAUUUACUUACGGUAUCUCGACAGGUACGAGAAGGUCCACUUUCUUGGCGAGGACGGACAGCAGGCUGAUGAUGAUGAUGAGGACUCCAGGCAUCGCAAGUGGUCAGCCAGGUCGCUUCAUUCUGUUCCUCUUACUUACAAUUAUCAUCAACACAAUGUCGCUGAAUCACUCCGCGAGUACAACGGACUGUCAUCGAAUCUCUACAAGCCCUCAAACUACGACAAGUUAGCACUGUCCUUGCUCUCACCGCUGCCCAAUGAGCAGGACUUUGCUAUAAAUGUCUGCACCCUUUUAUCUAACGAAGGCAAGCACACGCUGAGAUUAGACAAGUAUCCCCGGCUUAUCAACAUCUUGCUUGCCCAUGCUGGGGUUUUUGACUCUCCAGGGACGAGGCACCUAUUUAUUGAAGUUUACUCCAGAGUGAGGAACUACUCUAUAAACUCAUUUUGGUCUGAUGUUCUUGACUCGCCCCAGGUGCUAGAUCUCACUGAUGAAAGGACUUUUAUGAAGAAACCCACGCCGACUAUUCUAAAUACUUUCUCGAGGAGGAAAAUCUUAGAUAAAAAUAGUAAGAAAGCUGCGGGGGAGAGUAAAGAGAAAAUUUCUGAAGAUAAGGAGCAGGAUAAAGAGCAGCAAGAAAAGCUAGUAAACGGCGAAGCAAUGGAAGUAGAUCCCCUGCCUCUAGAAUGUUCCCGCUUAGCCUCAACUCUAAGCAUCUCCUCGCUCUCAACGUACCUAGACGAAGGUUGUUUCGACCAGAACGCAAACUCAAUAAUAAAAUUCGAGGAAGAGGACCGCGAUUUGUUCUGCAUGGGUCGUACCUUGGGCACGCAGGACCCUUAUGGCCAGCGAGUUCUGCAAAUCGCUUCAAUCCUUAGGAACUUAAGCUUCACUCCAGAGAAUGCAGCGGUUCUUGGAAAGAACCGCUGCUUUUUACGGUUCGUGUUGCUUUGCGUCCGCGCGAGAUGGAGCAAUUUACACCAACUUGGCUUCGACAUCCUGGGGAACAUCGCGAACGAGAUCGAGCUUAAAGAAAUCGGAGAAAGACUAGCUGAGGGGAUAAUAAAUUGCAUCGUCCACGGGAUCGACUCCACGGAUCGGUUCGUGGUGAUGUCUUGCUUGGAAGUCCUUAAUAAGAUCAGCCAACAAGACUGCAAUGAGGAGCUGGUGAUUUUCGGGCUGGAUGAUCAAGUCUUUGAAUUAAUCUGCAGGUUCCUGGCACUCAGCGACAUAGCGCUGCUUGUCUACACCCUGGAGUGCUUGUACGCGCUGACGAGUCUCGGAGAGAGACCUUGCACCAGCUUGGCGAGGGUCCGGGGUGCCAUUGACACCCUGGUGGCCUUGGUCACAGUUGAAGCUCAGAGCUAUGGACCCAAGGCGUGUAUCUUAAUGCGCGUCGUGGAAACUGUCAGCACUCUAGCGACCUCUACCGUCAGCCAGAGCACCACUACCACCACUACUACUUCUGUUCCUACUCCCGUUGCUACCACACCAGCUGUCGUCACCACAGCUAGCAUCCCAGCUCCAGUUGCUGCUCCUGUAGUUAGUCCUGUAACCUCCAGGCCGACUACUCCAGCGACCCCUGCUGUCAAGGCUGCUGCUAAUAAAGCCAUCGAGGCUGCUAAUUCUCUCCAGCAGCAGCAUGCUCAUCAGCAAAUUAUCCAAGAGAAUGAACAGUUUGCUCUCGGGUGGCUCAGAGCCACUUUUGAACUUGCGCCUGGGGUUAAGAUUGAACAGGAAGAACUUUAUAAAAAAUAUUUGAGCUCUUGUACUAAAAUUGGACGACGGGGAGUCAUUGCUCCGCUUCAUUUUCCUAGAUGUGUUAGAUCGGUAUUUGGCGGAACAAUAGGCCCAAACCCACAAAAAGGAGAAACAACAGGAACGCAGUACUACGAAGGGAUCAGAGUCCGCGCAACUCCAGCACCAAUCACAUAUCCAAGCCAGCCAUCAUCUCCAGCAGUGGUAACAUCAGUUUCAUCAACUCCAACACCCGCAAAGGUGCUACAACUGGUACAACAGCGUACAGUCACUAAAAGUCCUGCACCCGACAGCACGGCCCUUGAUAACAAUGCAUCCAAGACAAUUACCAACUCCACCGCCACAGCCCAGACACCCGCGUCUCCUAUACUAAAGGCCCACUUGUCAGCCCCACCGAAACCGACACCCUCAAACGCUACUCUGAACCAACCCCAGAUCAUUACCAAGGUUGACUCUAAAAGUCAGGUGUCCGUGACGCAUCCUCAUCUAAGCCAGGCGCUGCUCGCCAGCGGUUCCGCGCAGAACCAACCCCCACUCCAAGGAACAGUUCAGGCGCAGGCGCAGACGCAAACUCAGACCCAGAUGGUUCAAGUGGUGACCAAAGAUGGCGGUACCACUUCAAGUUCGAUAAUAAAAAGCCUAUUGGCUACAAAGGUAACGGUCAGCGGCGACUGCAUGCCCAGCGCCGCUGCUACCUGUGUGUCUACUUCUUCAAAUGCCUGUGUAACAAAUACUACUAGCAUCCCAACAACCAUCAGUGCCAAUCAGCUAAUAACAAACAAUCAGGUCGCGCAAAGACAACAACAGCAAAGACUGCUUCAGCAACAGAUGGCGACACCUACUACUUCUACCGCAACUACGCCCUCUACGGUGGUUCUUAAAGCUCCUGCAAAACAAAGAGGGAACAAGAAAGUACAGCGGCUCAAUGGCGCUAAAGUUGUUGCUAAUAAUUGUGAAAAGAUGGAAGUUAACGACGAAACAGUAACCAGCAGCACACCCUCAGUGAUAGUCUCCACCGAAAACCACAUUGGUCAAAAAGUAAUCCGCCCACCAGUAACCCCAAAAUUCAUCACCCAAAAACCCUACACUCCUCCAGUAACCGAGGAUUCAGACUCCACAAACAAUUCCCUAGCCUCUAGCAGUGGAAUCGGCCGUGAUUGUUCCGGGGUCGCUGAAGAAGAGAACUCCAUCACCAGUUUCGAAGGAAUCCUCCAGAACGGCGCAACCCCAGACCUGGACCAGGACAGCAGUUCCAAGGAAUCAAGCGUGAGUUCCCGAGGGAAGCAGAACUUGAUGCUCGCGGAUCUCCUAGAGCGUAAAGUAGACAGGGAACUUGUCAACGGAGUCCUAAAAAACAUGGAGAACCACGUUAAGAAGGAAGUGAAACUCGAAUGCGGAAUGUCUAUCAACGACGACGCGAUGAUAGAAGCGCCUAUCAAAAGGUCGAGUGAUUCCGAGGAGAAUUCUGUAAAGAAGGUCAAGUACUCCAACGGAACCAGUUCCUGGAACGAGAAUGAUUCAGUUAAUGUUGAGUCAACAGUCUCUUCUAUAAAAUCUGAGGAAGAUCAGGAGGAGAAGGUCACAGUUUCUUCAACAGCAGCUAACCUUUACGCGGCGCUAGCGGCGGAUAUUAUCGAAGAUGAGAACGAUCUAGAGGAACCGGUUAAAGAGGAACCCAAGUUCUCGGAACAAGUCGUCCAGCAGAUCGUCCAGGUUCCUCAGCAAGUUCCUCAGCAGCUGAUCGUCGCUGCUCCAAGGCAAAUUGUUGUUCAGAACAACCAGGUGCUGAUCCCGGGACAGAUGAAGGCCAGGACGACCCAGCCGCAGGUGCUGCUCCAGCAAGGAGCGGGUGGACAGCUCCAGUAUGUCGUCUCAGGAGGCGUUCCAGGUCAAAAUUACGUCUUGGCCCAAUCUCAGACCGCUUUGGUACAAGGUCAGGCGCAAACCGUCCUAGUGGCUCAAACUACCCAACAACAAGGAACUGGAGCUAAAACCAUAAUUAUCCUUCAACCUCAAGCCGCUCAGGGUCAAGGUCACCAGAAGGUCGUCGCAGUUACACCCCAGGGUCAGCAGGUCGUGGUCACACAAAUGCCUCGGCCGAUAAUGCAGAACCCCUCGGUCGGUAACUUACCAGCAAUCGGUAACAUUCCACCUUUGGUACCAACCUCUUCUGCGGUCCAGAAUUCUAUUAUCGUCAACACGUCGAUUGUUACUCAAAGCAAUCCUAAUACUGUUACGGUGACGAUUCCUGCGAUGACUCAACAGUGUCCGGUUACUAGCAGUCUACCGUCCAGAGUGGUCACGCCCACUCCUGCGUCGACUCCGCCCCCAACUAGGCCCACCACGCCCCACCAGGCUGCCGCGACCAAUGUUAAGCUUCACAAUAAACUUCAGAAGGUGACGACUUCGACUUCAACGUCGACGGAGGACAAGCCGAGUACAAGUCAGGCGCAGAGUGAGAAAGUUGUUAUUAAAUUGGAUCCUAAUGCGUUUUUGUGCGAGUGGAGGGGGUGUCUAAAGCAAUUCAAGACUGCGCAUGAGGUUUAUAUGCAUGGGUGUGAAGCACACUGUCCUAAUGAUGCGGAAGAGGUCGUUUGUUUGUGGGCUAGUUGUGAUGGGCUUAAAAGGAGACGGUUUUCCUUGAUGACGCAUUUGUAUGACAAGCAUUGUAAUCCUGAGAAAAUGGCGUUCCUGAGAAGAAAAAACCUAGCGACCAAUGGGAAAGAAGUAUCGACAUCAACCCCAGCGCCCUCAGCGGCGGCGUCAGCCGCCGCUACAGCUUCGCACCCUGGUUACGCGCCGAACGCGGCGCUCCACGCAAUCAAAAGGCACGCUCUUGAGUUUAUCAACCCCAAGGAAUUGAUGCAGCAAAGGCCAAGCAAGCCGGCUGCUCCUACAACUACCGUCAGUUCUCCUCGAGCUGGUCAAAACUCUACACCAGAACAGGAUGACAAUGAAGGUCCAGUUACUAAAAGUAUUCGCCUAACGGCAGCUCUAAUUCUCAGAAACCUAGUCAUAUAUUCAGCCCAUGGUCGAAGGCAUCUCAGAGCUUACGAGCCUCACUUGGCAGGCGUGGCGCUAUCUAACGUCGAAUCAUCCCGAACAAUAGCCCAAGUUCUCUACGACAUGAACGAACAAAGCACCGGGAGUAGCAGGUGACCUUAUUACUGUACUAAUUAAAAAAAUUUCCAAUUAAAGUACACUGAGCAGCGAUCAAUAAUUACAAAAUUGGAUAAUUAUAAUUAUUUAAUUAAUUAAAGUACCCAGGGGCUUUUAAAUGUAUAAAUAAUUAUUAAAGAUCAAUGUCGUAGACAAUUAAGUAUUAAUAAUUAAUUAAUUAUACAAAAUAAUUACAAUGAGGCCUAUUAACUUAUUAGGCGUUGCGCCGGUUAAUUUUUGUUAGUGUCAUAAUUUUUUAUAAAAUUUUUUUUCUUAUUAAAAUAAUUGAUCAUAUCACACAGAACAAUUUUAUUUAAUAUUGUUUGCGUUUUGUAUUGAAAUUAUUUAUAAGUCGAUUUGUUUGUAGUUAAAAAUUUAUUAAUAAUUUUUAUUUGAGUAUUAAAAAUAAAAAAUCUCUGUUUAAAAAUUAA